GGUAAGAUAAAGGUCUCAGACGAUCAUAGUCUUCCUAAGGAAGAAAAAUUCUGUUAUCUGCAAUAUUAAAUUGUUGCCUGUAUUUUAACAUUUGUAUUCACUAUUUGUAUUUGUAUUAAGAUUGUUGAGGCAAACUUUCUGAAUGUUUAAAACUAUUCCAGGUUAGUUAGUGUCACUGUUAGACCAAAAUCUACAUAUGAAGAUAACUAUAUGUGAAUAUAAAUAUUUUGAAAAAUGAUAGAAACUUGCUUCUCUAUGAGAAUAUACAGAAUAUUACCAUUCAAAAAGUUUUCAUUUAAGGAAAAAACCAAAAGGCUUACAGUUCAAACAUACUUGCAGAUCAAAGAUUAGUAUUUGUAGAGAAAUGAGCAGGUGUGACUGCUGUAGAGUCAUCCAGGUUAUACAAAGCUAGGCUAGAUUAAGGCUAUUUGAUGCACUUAAAUGUUCUGUUUUGGAUCAUACACAGAGGUAAUAUAUAAAGCCCUCCUUAGAAUUUUCCUUGUCUCUUAGAAACCUUACAGUCCUGUUCCUAGUGUUCAGGACAGCAAGAAGGAUCAGUAUGGACCUCUUUUGUCUAGACUGUGCUUUCUAUUAACAAACCCAGCAAAGGAUCAUAUGGACAGAAAUUCAGGAUCAAGAAUACUAUCAGUGGAAUAUUAAUGUGUUUGUUUGUUUGUUGGGAGCAUGGGGGAGGAGCUAGUGUGAAAAGAUUGUUUAGGACAUUUAGAGCCUCAGCAUUUAAAGCCAGCAGUCCUACUGCCAGGGUGUACAAUACUGUGGCAAGACAAGUACCUGGGAGCAUUGCCCCUGUUGUAAAGCAGUUCUCUCUGGCAAGCCAGAGAGUGGAUUUUUGCCCUAUGUUUUAGCCAACAGCCAGAGGGAACAUGCCCCAGCUUCUCUGCAAGGCUUCCUUUGGUCUUUGGCACUGAACCAAUGCCUUACCAUUCCUACCAUAGAAUUGUGGUGGUUUUUGGAACAUAGAUAACUAAGACUGAGCCCAGGCAUUGCAGAGACACUGACUACUGCUGGAUUUAUACCUUCCACAGUGAGCAGCAGUUUAUUAGGGCUGCUGCAGCAGUUUCCCUCUUCCCCAUGUAAACUCCCCAUCUUAAGUAAAUCUCACAAAUAUUGCAAUGAUUCGUUCAUUAAACAUAGAGACAGAAAUGUAAUUCAAGUCCAAUUUUGAAAUGAGCCAGAAAAUUAAUUUUUUGUUUCCUUGGCAACAACCACAUUAACAUGUUAUUAACCUAUAGUCACAGCCUCAAAAAUACCCUGCAUUGAUUUGUUAGGUUUUAAACCUGGUUACUGAAAUUUCAGAAAUAGUGUGAGAACUUCCUCAGAACAGUUUCUGCUUGGCUCAUCUUUUCAUUUGAAAGUCAACAGCUAUGGGAAGAGAGCUGUUAUUCUCAUGAACUGGAGGAAAGACAAGCACAGGCAGAAAUUCUGCAGUAGCAAAGAGGUCUCCUUUUCCGUGUUACAGUACUUAAUAAUCUGCCUGAGAUUUUCUGCUGCCUCGUACUUGAAUACUGAAUUUUGGAUGGUGGAGUGGAUGAGCUCUAACAUGUCCAAAAUCUGGCUAUUUCCAACAUUUACCUGUUCAGAAAUAGAGAUCUUGAGAAGCUUUUUGUAUGGAGACUGAAGAAUGGGUAUUGCAUUCCACAGCUUUAUAAUAUUCUUCAUUUCAUGGGUUUGCUCAGACCGAAAGCAGAACACAGUGUCCUGUUUCAAGUCAUGCAUUAGAUUUUGACUUUGAAGUAAUACUUUUGCCCAGUUCUGUGGAUAUCAGCUAAGACAGAGCUAAAACCACACAAACUGUGUUCCAAAUUCUGCCACUGACACAGUAUAUAGUCCUGAGCAAAUCAUUAUCCUCUCUCUAUUUGCAUCUUUCCAUCUGUAGGGGUUUACUAGCUUAAUAAUGCAUUAGUCUUUGCAAAGCACUCCAAAAGCCUUUGAUGUACACAGCUUAUGUGCAGUGAGAUAUUUAAAACAAAACAAAACAAAAAUAAACUCAGACAAAAUGGAGUAUAAUAAUUUCUGGACAGCCUUUUUGACCUACAAAAAGCACUAUUUCCAUAUAUUUAUUAGAACACUGAAGUGUGAGGCACAGACUUACAGAGAUUCUGUCAUAGAGACCUUGUAGCUCCCCUGAUUUAUGGUAUCACGCUCCUCCCGGCUUGAAGUUGGCGUGAUAGACACACAGACAGAGGUCCUUACCCCUCUGUCAGUAGUGUGAGACCACAGGCCUCCUGUCCUCUGAAAUGGUAUUAGGGUCUCUGUCCACUUUGGAGAGAUGAAAGGCAACUAGUUCUUUGCAGCCAAUACCUUCCCGCACCUUGACCAAGACCUUAGAGGAAGUCCAUGUCUCUCAGAUCUGCCCUUGCAAGUUGUGAGGAGAAUGUUAAUCUAGUUCUAUCUGGUUGAUUUUUAUUUCCUUGCUAGUGUUUUUAAGAAAAUAGGACAAACCAAAUUCUGAUAUGUCAUUAACACUGACUCAGGGGCCUAUGAUGUGUCAUGUUUUAAUCCAUGUUCAUUGUCUUGUUCUGAAAGAACCAAAGUAAUUAUUUUAUGCGUUUUGCAGCUUAAGAAUGAAAUUUUAACAAUGCAUCUUCAGUUGUUAUACUGACAUAUCAUUGAUAAAUCUAUUUUCUGUUCCAAGAGGUAUAAGUAGAUGGGUGAAAACAAAAUAAAGCUUGCACCACUGGAAGAAAAACUGGAGCUCAAAA
Molecule: long non-coding RNA, 2723 nt
Organism: Catharus ustulatus (Swainson's thrush)
Lineage: Eukaryota; Metazoa; Chordata; Aves; Passeriformes; Turdidae
Exons: 2
Source: RefSeq, a predicted model, not a curated record